This 305-nucleotide unclassified non-coding RNA is filed under the name Mucoromycotina sp. RNAcentral's name for it is "partial contains small subunit ribosomal RNA, internal transcribed spacer 1, and 5.8S ribosomal RNA". The stretch from base 1 to 47 matches the Rfam family "Eukaryotic small subunit ribosomal RNA", at positions 1785 to 1831 of the family's 1831-position model. Lineage: Eukaryota; Fungi; Mucoromycota. The record is from RNAcentral.
AAAGUCGUAACAAGGUUUCCGUAGGUGAACCUGCGGAAGGAUCAUUAAAUAAUUUUGAUUGAUUAGGGGUUCUCCCCUAAUUCAAUUAUAUAUUUACUGUGAAAUGUAUUAUUUUACUUGACGCUUGAGGAAUGCCCAGUCUUGCUGUAUGGAUAAGCGAGUUGCUGGGAUGUUAACCGAGUCGAGGACCAGGCUUAGGCCUGAUAUCCUAUUAAUUAUUUACCAAAAGAAUUCUGAAUAAAAUAUUGUAACAUAGACCUUAAAAAUCUAUAAAACAACUUUUAACAACGGAUCUCUUGGUUCUC